GGGACAAAAUUUGGCGGAAGAUGAAGAAUAACUAGAAAAUGCAUUUCCUGCAAAAAUGCGUGGGAAUGCUAAAUAGCUGAAUUGCUAAAGCUAAACUGGAUAAAUUGCUUAAAUCAGUAAGAA
Long non-coding RNA from Etheostoma cragini (Arkansas darter), 123 nucleotides. RefSeq lists it as uncharacterized. NCBI's taxonomy places the organism in Eukaryota, Metazoa, Chordata, Actinopteri, Perciformes, Percidae. The record is from RefSeq and is a predicted model, not a curated record. The transcript is spliced from 2 exons.